Molecule: ribosomal RNA, 212 nt
Filed under: Bacillus sp. BS18
Lineage: Bacteria; Bacillati; Bacillota; Bacilli; Caryophanales; Bacillaceae
Description: partial 16S ribosomal RNA
Rfam family: Bacterial small subunit ribosomal RNA
Source: RNAcentral
GGUUGGGAUCUCAGUGGGCAACUGGACUGCGUGAAGCUGGAAUCGCUAGUAAUCGCGGAUCAGCAUGCCGCGCAUACUAUAUUACCGGCCGUUUGCCGCACCUAUCGUCACACCACGAGAGUUUGUAACACCCGAAGUCGGUGAUGUAACCUUUUAGGACCCAGCCCAAGAAGGUAUGACAGACUCGAGGGGAAGUCGUGCCCGGGUUGCCU